Homo sapiens (human) is the source of this 3216-nucleotide long non-coding RNA. Ensembl annotates it as deleted in lymphocytic leukemia 1. Its record names the gene DLEU1. The record is from Ensembl. Lineage: Eukaryota; Metazoa; Chordata; Mammalia; Primates; Hominidae.
AGCUCCUGAUGGUCCUCACACUCCUACAGUGACCUUCUUCACUCAUUAGCCAGGAGUUGAAGCUGAAAGAAAUGUAGCAUAAUAUCUCAAAUGCUUGCUUUGCAUUUUUUAUAUUCAUUGAUUCAACAAUUAUUUACUGAGCACUAUAUUGCAUUUUAGGAAUGGCAUUAGGUACUGGAGAUAUGGGCUAACACACAUUUCUUGGCUACCCAUUAUAGAUAAUUACAUGAGAAACACAAAAUAUGCAUAGAAGGACCCUAAUUUCGAGUCAAACAACCCAGGAAGAAGACUUCUCUAUAGCUAUCUUUAUACUUUAUAUUAAUCUUUUUCUUUGUAUUUUAUGUUCAUCUUCUUCUUCCUGAAAUGAGAAGGGAAGGAAAAUAGAAUUCUAGAAAUAACCUUACAGCUGCCCUUCACUCUAUGGAAAAAGUGAGCUCUUGACAGGAAAGGGGUUCUAUCCAUGAUCUUACAAUUCCUAAACAGCAACAGCAUCAUGGACGUAUUUGUUCCUGGCGUCAUAAGCCUGCAUACGGUAGGCAUUCAGUUAAUAGGUACUGAUUGGUCUAACAGAGGAAGCUGGGCUUGAUUAUAAAAUAAACUAGGCUAUGAAAUCAUGCCUCCUAAAAGCUCAUUAAAGGCAGCAACACGGGAUGGGGACUGUAAGGAAGUUGUCUCCCACCUGCCUCCCUCCUCAGACACACAUCAUUCCGCAGAUGUGAAAACGACCCAGACUCUGCCCGCAUGUGGCCUCCCGGACCGGGCAGUAGGGCCUUGCCCCUACCCUCAUGAAGACUGUCGGCUGUGUUACAGAACUGCUGCUCUGUCUCUGACUCCCCUCACUCCCAUGCUCUGUUGGAAACUCAAGUUGUGAAACCACAAAACACAGAAAGGAAGUGGUCAACUAUUGCACAUACUCAAGCUAUGUAGUCUCAGUUUAUUCCAUUCUUGCAGGAUCAUUGUAGGAAGGCAUAAGAGUCCUGCUUACUGGUGAGCCACUGAACACAAACUCCCUUCUCACCUCUGCCUUGGAUCCCGCCAUGCCUGAGGUCUAGGGCUAGAAGCGUUGUUUCAUCCACAUUAAUUCCGGUCUUGGGCAACGUGGCUAUUUUCUGACCUGUCUGUCUUCCCACCCUAGUGGUGAAUUCUCUUUCUGGGAUCUCAACUCCUUCUCCUGUCACCCAGCUUUUUCCGAGCAACCCCAGUCCAUCUGGCAUAUCAUUAGAAUGUUAAACCUAAAACGGCCUCUGCGCCUUGUUGGCGGAAUUCAGUUCAAUUUGCCUGAUGGACUGAGGUCCCUGCUUCCCUGCGGGCUGUCGGCGGGAACUGCCACUGGCUCCUUGCAGCCUCUCUCUGAUUCUUGCACAAGGGCACCUACAUCUCAGAGCCAGCGAGAGUGUGAGUGUGUGGAAUCCUUCUCACGAGGCCUCAUCUCUCUGACUUUCGUCGGGAAAUGUUCUCUGCUUUUAAAGGAUCAUGUAAUUAUUUUGAGCCUACCCGAUAAUCCAGGAUAAUCCCCUCAUCUAAAAAUCUGUUACCUUAACCACAUCUGCAAAGUCCCUGUUGCCGUGUAAUGUAAGCUAUUCACAGGUUCUGGGGAUUAGGAAAAGGACAUCUUUGGUGGGGGCCUUAUUCAGCCUACCACAUAGAGAUUAGUACCUGAAAAGCCAGCAGGUGAGAAGCUAGACAGAGCAGCCGGUGGCAGCUAAAGGAGAAAGGGGGCGAGAGCUGGAGAAGUCGCACUUCCGCCGAUGGCGCAGCAAAGGGGAUGUUGCCCUGGAGGACUCAGGGAACGGAACUGGGCUAUCAGCCGAGAAUGGGGCUCCACUCAAAAGGAGGAACCAACAGGAGACACAAGGAACCCCAGCAGGAAGAAGUCGGAGAUGGAGGAGGGGAAGUCAUAGCUGGAGGAGACGUGUGUUAGGAAGCUACAAUGGCAGCUCCCUAGUGGAGGUGUUUCGGAAAAACUCCGAAGAUUCCACUUGAGAAAAUCAUCGGCCUUCAGACAACGUCUAUGCCAGAUAAUGCUACCAAAUCACAACCUUGCCUUUCCUCCCUACUGCUGUUCUGAUGUGGGAGGACCCAAAGGCAGCAGAAGAGCCAAAGAAGAGUAGCAGAAAGGUAAGUUUGGCUGUCAUGCCCUGGCACACCUUGCUGCUACCCUGCAGCUCCCUGCCACCUGGCCAUGCACUGCUUCCCCUCCACACCCUGCUGAGGCAGGUCUGGGCUGGGGACACAGGAAGCUUUGAUGUUAGACUGAACUGGACCUUCAAGAUCUCAAAACACAAAGUAUUUGUUAGUAACUGAAAGGUGGCAUAAAUGUUAGAUCAACCUAGGAUUUUAUCACCAAAUAAGGAAACAAGUUCACUGGGCAGUUCUAAGAAAGAAUAGAAUUGCUUCCUGCUUGGUCUUUUUUGUUUAAUAGACCAGAUUCACAAAUGCCCCAACCCUUCUCUAGCAAUGUGUAGGUUCUGAUCACCAAGGGCUAUCUCAAGAGAAGGGCCAAACAUCUCCAUUAACAGGAACUCAAGCCCUUGUUUCAUUGAAAUGUUUGGUUACAGCUUAAUGACCACAGUUGCAAAGCCAGAAUAUUGAGUUUUUAUAUGCUAUAUUAUUUACAUGGAAUAAUGCCCUCUUGGUACCAUAUUGAACAUAGUAAAUUCUCUGUUAAUUGACACUAUACAGAAAGAGUACUUUGACUGAUCGAGGAAGGCUAAUGUUUUUUGAUCUCUAAUCCUUGGGCUACCUUUUCCGUGAUGUCACGGAAAGAGCAUUAGACUAGUUAUUGUUCUAGAACUGGGACUCUCACUAACUAUAUACACGUGGGCAGAUCAUUUUACAUUUUUGAGCAUUGGUUUCUUCAUGUGUAAGGUGGUAACAACAAUGUCUCCCCUGCCUUGUUCAUAGGAUUGUAGGGAGAAUCAAAUGACAUAAUGGUCAUGAAAAUAUAUUUCUAAGUUGUAAUCUGUAUAUGUAAUAAGGUGUUACUAGUAAUUGAACAUUUAUAUAUAUUCUGUAACAGGUUGUAAACUUUUAAAAGAGAUCUAGUACACCAGGCUUAAUGGACUAUUUUUUGAAAGACACAUCAAAAACUGUUGACAAUAAUUGCCUCUAGGUAGAGACAUGAGAGUGAUGGGAAGGAGGCAGACUUAUUUUUCACUCAAUUUCCUUUUGUAUCUCUUGAAUUAAUACUAUAUAUACACAUGACGCAUUUAAUUU